Molecule: ribosomal RNA, 467 nt
Filed under: uncultured bacterium
Lineage: Bacteria
Description: partial 16S ribosomal RNA
Rfam family: Bacterial small subunit ribosomal RNA
Source: RNAcentral
GACGAACGCUGGCGGCGUGCUUAACACAUGCAAGUCGAACGGAAAGGCCCUGCUUUUGUGGGGUGCUCGAGUGGCGAACGGGUGAGUAACACGUGAGUAACCUGCCCUUGACUUUGGGAUAACUUCAGGAAACUGGGGCUAAUACCGGAUAGGAGCUCCUGCUGCAUGGUGGGGGUUGGAAAGUUUCGGCGGUUGGGGAUGGACGCGCGGCUUAUCAGCUUGUUGGUGGGGUAGUGGCUUACCAAGGCUUUGACGGGUAGCCGGCCUGAGAGGGUGACCGGCCACAUUGGGACUGAGAUACGGCCCAGACUCAUACGGGAGGCAGCAGUGGGGAAUAUUGCACAAUGGGCGGAAGCCUGAUGCAGCAACGCCGCGUGCGGGAUGACGGCCUUCGGGUUGUAAACCGCUUUCGCCUGUGACGAAGCGUGAGUGACGGUAAUGGGGAAAGAAGCACCGGCUAACUACGU